CCUACGGGUGGCUGCAGUGGGGAAUAUUGGACAAUGGGCGAAAGCCUGAUCCAGCCAUGCCGCGUGUGUGAAGAAGGCCUUCGGGUUGUAAAGCACUUUCAGUGGGGAAGAAAGCCUUGGGGCUAAUACCCUCGAGGAAGGACAUCACCCACAGAAGAAGCACCGGCUAACUCCGUGCCAGCAGCCGCGGUAAUACGGAGGGUGCGAGCGUUAAUCGGAAUUACUGGGCGUAAAGCGCGCGUAGGCGGUCUGAUAAGCCGGUUGUGAAAGCCCCGGGCUCAACCUGGGAACGGCAUCCGGAACUGUCAGGCUAGAGUGCAGGAGAGGAAGGUAGAAUUCCCGGUGUAGCGGUGAAAUGCGUAGAGAUCGGGAGGAAUACCAGUGGCGAAGGCGGCCUUCUGGACUGACACUGACGCUGAGGUGCGAAAGCGUGGGUAGCAAACAGGAUUAGAUACCCGUGUAUC
This 464-nucleotide ribosomal RNA is filed under the name Vreelandella stevensii. Its description in RNAcentral is "partial 16S ribosomal RNA". It matches the Rfam family "Bacterial small subunit ribosomal RNA", at positions 338 to 794 of the family's 1533-position model. Lineage: Bacteria; Pseudomonadati; Pseudomonadota; Gammaproteobacteria; Oceanospirillales; Halomonadaceae. The record is from RNAcentral.